RNAcentral lists this long non-coding RNA (408 nucleotides) under Daucus carota (carrot). RNAcentral describes it as "long non-coding RNA (DCAR_LNC007241)". Lineage: Eukaryota; Viridiplantae; Streptophyta; Magnoliopsida; Apiales; Apiaceae. The record is from RNAcentral.
CACAGAAUCCCAAUCAAGAAUCGUAAAAGUUUAAAACUAACACCCCGUCACUCAAGUCCAACUAAAAGCCAAGGUCCCAAAGAAUGUCCACACCCUUCUAUUUUAUUCACUAUAUAUUUUUUAUUUUUUUUUCUUUUUAUUGGUGAUUAAUUGCUCGGUCUAAGGUCAGAGCGCUUCGCAGUGUAAAUGCGUUACGAACACCACAAGACUUCACACACCAAUUAUUCACUCUAUUCUAGUGGUUUAUUUAACCGUGCAAUGGUUGAGAUCCCUAAAGAUUUAUGCACUAGUACCCAUGUAGCGAGUGUUGGGUCAACAAUCCCAAACCACGAAGGGCUUUAGGUUGUUAGGCACAAAGUCCCCUCAGACUUAAUUACUCGAGUACUAAUGAGCUCAACCUAGUUAAUU